RNAcentral lists this ribosomal RNA (497 nucleotides) under uncultured bacterium. RNAcentral's name for it is "partial 16S ribosomal RNA". It matches the Rfam family "Bacterial small subunit ribosomal RNA", at positions 28 to 507 of the family's 1533-position model. The record is from RNAcentral.
GAUGAACGCUGGCGGCGUGCCUAAUACAUGCAAGUCGAGCGAACAGACGAGGAGCUUGCUCCUCUGACGUUAGCGGCGGACGGGUGAGUAACACGUGGAUAACCUACCUAUAAGACUGGGAUAACUUCGGGAAACCGGAGCUAAUACCGGAUAAUAUAUUGAACCGCAUGGUUCAAUAGUGAAAGACGGUUUUGCUGUCACUUAUAGAUGGAUCCGCGCCGCAUUAGCUAGUUGGUAAGGUAACGGCUUACCAAGGCGACGAUGCGUAGCCGACCUGAGAGGGUGAUCGGCCACACUGGAACUGAGACACGGUCCAGACUCCUACGGGAGGCAGCAGUAGGGAAUCUUCCGCAAUGGGCGAAAGCUUGACGGAGCAACGCCGCGUGAGUGAUGAAGGUCUUCGGAUCGUAAAACUCUGUUAUUAGGGAAGAACAAAUGUGUAAGUAACUAUGCACGUCUUGACGGUACCUAAUCAGAAAGCCACGGCUUACUACGUG